This 490-nucleotide ribosomal RNA is filed under the name uncultured bacterium. RNAcentral describes it as "partial 16S ribosomal RNA". It matches the Rfam family "Bacterial small subunit ribosomal RNA", at positions 30 to 507 of the family's 1533-position model. The record is from RNAcentral.
AUUGAACGCUGGCGGCAGGCCUAACACAUGCAAGUCGAACGGUAACAGGAAGAAGCUUGCUUCUUUGCUGACGAGUGGCGGACGGGUGAGUAAUGUCUGGGAAACUGCCUGAUGGAGGGGGAUAACUACUGGAAACGGUAGCUAAUACCGCAUAACGUCGCAAGACCAAAGAGGGGGACCUUCGGGCCUCUUGCCAUCGGAUGUGCCCAGAUGGGAUUAGCUAGUAGGUGGGGUAACGGCUCACCUAGGCGACGAUCCCUAGCUGGUCUGAGAGGAUGACCAGCCACACUGGAACUGAGACACGGUCCAGACUCCUACGGGAGGCAGCAGUGGGGAAUAUUGCACAAUGGGCGCAAGCCUGAUGCAGCCAUGCCGCGUGUAUGAAGAAGGCCUUCGGGUUGUAAAGUACUUUCAGCGGGGAGGAAGGGAGUAAAGUUAAUACCUUUGCUCAUUGACGUUACCCGCAGAAGAAGCACCGGCUAACUACGUG